This 67-nucleotide transfer RNA is filed under the name Iriatherina werneri. Its description in RNAcentral is "tRNA-Cys". The record is from RNAcentral. Lineage: Eukaryota; Metazoa; Chordata; Actinopteri; Atheriniformes; Melanotaeniidae.
AGCUCCGAGGUGUUUUUACAUUUAGGGUUGCAAACCCUGAGUAGCAGGUUUGUCCCUGCCGGGGCUU